CACCUAUCCCGCCGUUCCUCGCGCCCCUGAAGGAACUGGCUGGUUGUUACGUAAUGGCGUUUAGUGUAUUCAUACAAUGUAAAGUUCCCUUUUUCUUAUGGGAGCCCUAAUGCAAUUUGACGUUGAAGUACAGAAGCUGAGUGGUGUAGCUGGAGACUGGGACAGAUCAGUUGGCUUUUUGGAAACAAUUCAGGACGUUUCUGUAAUGAAGUACAUAGGCUUCAGUACCGGCUGUCAAGUGGAUGGAGUAUGUUGUGUUGUAGUACCGGGCAGGGGAGCAGACUGAUGGGUUGUUUUUUCCUAGAGGGUUUCGGACGUGGAGGAAAGUACAGCUGACAUUAAAGUAGUUUUGCAUCUUGCUAAAAAGGGCUUUACUGGAUCUUAUUCUUUUGGCUAAUUUAAGCAAUCAUCCCAACAGGCAGUAUGCCUUAUUUGGCUGCUUGACACAGAACCAAACGGCCUCUUAUGUGAACCAAGGGACGCAGUUUGCUGUCACACUGUGGGAGAAGCAGUGGAUGUUGACAAUAAUGGACCUGUAGCUCUAAGAUUGCAAACAUGCAGAAUUACAAAUCAAAAGAUGCGCCUCCAUCUGAAUUUGGGCAUAAACAGGACAGAAGUAUCCUGCAAGGGUUGACUGUAGCAUAUGAAGAUUUUAACAAGACAAAGGCUGCU
Protopterus annectens (West African lungfish) is the source of this 672-nucleotide long non-coding RNA. RefSeq lists it as uncharacterized. The record is from RefSeq and is a predicted model, not a curated record. NCBI's taxonomy places the organism in Eukaryota, Metazoa, Chordata, Ceratodontiformes, Protopteridae. The transcript has 3 exons.